UUUGCACGGGGGGAGUUCCUACGGGAGGCAGCAGUCGAGAAUCAUUCGCAAUGGGCGAAAGCCUGACGAUGCGACGCUGUGGGAGUGAAGAAGGCCUUAGGGUCGUAAAGCUCUUUCGCCUGGGAACAAGAUGAGCUGGCUAACAUCCAGCGAUUUGAGCGUACCAGAAAAGAAGCAAGAAGUCA
Molecule: ribosomal RNA, 185 nt
Filed under: uncultured Candidatus Protochlamydia sp.
Lineage: Bacteria; Pseudomonadati; Chlamydiota; Chlamydiia; Parachlamydiales; Parachlamydiaceae
Description: partial 16S ribosomal RNA
Rfam family: Bacterial small subunit ribosomal RNA
Source: RNAcentral